This 72-nucleotide transfer RNA is filed under the name Ictidomys tridecemlineatus (thirteen-lined ground squirrel). RNAcentral's name for it is "Spermophilus tridecemlineatus (thirteen-lined ground squirrel) tRNA". It matches the Rfam family "tRNA". From Rfam's summary of the family: Transfer RNA (tRNA) molecules are approximately 80 nucleotides in length. Their secondary structure includes four short double-helical elements and three loops (D, anti-codon, and T loops). Lineage: Eukaryota; Metazoa; Chordata; Mammalia; Rodentia; Sciuridae. The record is from Rfam by way of RNAcentral.
UGGGGUGGGGCUCAGUGGCAGAGCACUUGCCUGGCAUGUGUGAGGCACUGGGUUCAAUUCUCAGCACCACAU